RNAcentral lists this ribosomal RNA (253 nucleotides) under uncultured bacterium. Its description in RNAcentral is "partial 16S ribosomal RNA". It matches the Rfam family "Bacterial small subunit ribosomal RNA", at positions 524 to 776 of the family's 1533-position model. The record is from RNAcentral.
GACAGAGGGGGCAAGCGUUGUCCGGAUUUACUGGGCGUACAGCGCGCGCAGGCGGUGGGGCAGGUACCUGGUGACACACUCGCGCUCAACGCGAGGGGGUCUGGGUAAACCGCCCGACUGGAGGCAGGGAGAGGGACGUGGAAUACCCGGUGGAGCGGUGAAAUGCGUAGAGAUCGGGUGGAACACCAGUGGCGCAGGCGGCGUCCUGGCCCUGGCCUGACGCUGAGGCGCGAGAGCGUGGGGAGCGAACGGG